CCCCAGACUUUCUCCUCUACAUAAAAUCAGAGAGAGACUAGAGAAGAGAGAGAGAAGCCGUCGGGAUCUAACAUGUGCGAUUCUGGCUACAAUAACAAUGACAACCACAACUGUUCAGAUUCCGAUCGUCGGAACGGAUCGUGCAACACCGGCGGUUGAUGGUGGUUUGUGGUGUUUGGUGACCGGUGGUGAUGGCAGGAAGACGCUGAAGACUGAGUUUUCUGAAGCUUUUGAACAGGAGAAGGGUUUUCAUUGAAUGGCUUUGUUUUGUGGUUUGGGCGGAUUGAUCUCAAGAUCGUAUGCACUGCUCUGAUACCAUGAAAACAGAUGCGUGAGAUUCUCCAUAUUCAAGGCGGCCAAUGCAGACACCAGAUCGGAGCAAAGUUCUGGGAGGUAGUUUGUGCAGAACAUGGUAUUGAUGUGACUGGAAAGUACACCGGAGAGGAGAUUCUGAGCUUUAGCUCGAGAGGAUUAAUGUGUAUUACAAUGAGGCUAGCGACGGAAGGUUUGUUCCACGCGUCGUGCUUAUGGAUCUGGAGCCAGGAACGUUGAACAGUCUCAGAUCUGGAGCGUACGACCAGAUCUUCCGACCGAAUACGUUAUGUUUGGGCAGUCCGGUGCCGGUAAUAAUUGGGCGAAAGGUCAUGAAGCAAAGUUGACUCUACAUGGUCUCGUACAGCACUACAUCAUUGAGCGAGAUCAAGUCGUGAUAUUUGUCAAAAGUGUAAGCAGAGAAGUUGAGCUCAACAAAUUGCUUGUGGAGUGUAAUUUCCCAUCAAUCUGCAUCCAUUCUGGCAUGU
This is a long non-coding RNA of Helianthus annuus (common sunflower), 800 nucleotides long. RefSeq lists it as uncharacterized. NCBI's taxonomy places the organism in Eukaryota, Viridiplantae, Streptophyta, Magnoliopsida, Asterales, Asteraceae. The record is from RefSeq and is a predicted model, not a curated record. The transcript is spliced from 4 exons.